This 73-nucleotide transfer RNA is filed under the name Bos taurus (domestic cattle). It matches the Rfam family "tRNA". From Rfam's summary of the family: Transfer RNA (tRNA) molecules are approximately 80 nucleotides in length. Their secondary structure includes four short double-helical elements and three loops (D, anti-codon, and T loops). Further hydrogen bonds mediate the characteristic L-shaped molecular structure. tRNAs have two regions of fundamental functional importance: the anti-codon, which is responsible for specific mRNA codon recognition, and the 3' end, to which the tRNAs corresponding amino acid is attached (by aminoacyl-tRNA synthetases). tRNAs cope with the degeneracy of the genetic code in two manners: having more than one tRNA (with a specific anti-codon) for a particular amino acid; and 'wobble' base-pairing, i.e. permitting non-standard base-pairing at the 3rd anti-codon position. Lineage: Eukaryota; Metazoa; Chordata; Mammalia; Artiodactyla; Bovidae. RNAcentral also lists the same sequence under 1 other name. The record is from Rfam by way of RNAcentral.
UCCCUGGUGGUCCAGUGGCUAAGACUUUACACUUCCAAUGUAGGGGCUGUGGGUCUGAUCCGUGGCCAGGGAA